This 403-nucleotide ribosomal RNA is filed under the name Fusobacteriota bacterium. RNAcentral describes it as "Fusobacteria bacterium partial 16S ribosomal RNA". It matches the Rfam family "Bacterial small subunit ribosomal RNA", at positions 355 to 776 of the family's 1533-position model. Lineage: Bacteria; Fusobacteriati; Fusobacteriota. The record is from RNAcentral.
UGGGGAAUAUUGCACAAUGGAGGGAACUCUGAUGCAGCGACGCCGCGUGAACGAAGAAGGCUUUCGAGUCGUAAAGUUCUUUUAUAUGGGAAGCUAAUGACGGUACCAUAAGAAAAAGCCCCGGCUAACUACGUGCCAGCAGCCGCGGUAAUACGUAGGGGGCUAGCGUUGUCCGGAAUCACUGGGCGUAAAGGGUUCGCAGGCGGAAAUGCAAGUCAGGUGUAAAAGGCAGUAGCUUAACUACUGUAAGCAUUUGAAACUGCAUAUCUUGAGAAGAGUAGAGGUAAGUGGAAUUUUUAGUGUAGCGGUGAAAUGCGUAGAUAUUAAAAAGAAUACCGGUGGCGAAGGCGACUUACUGGGCUCAUUCUGACGCUGAGGAACGAAAGCGUGGGUAGCAAACAGG